This 497-nucleotide ribosomal RNA is filed under the name uncultured bacterium. RNAcentral's name for it is "partial 16S ribosomal RNA". It matches the Rfam family "Bacterial small subunit ribosomal RNA", at positions 28 to 507 of the family's 1533-position model. The record is from RNAcentral.
GAUGAACGCUGGCGGCGUGCCUAAUACAUGCAAGUCAAGCGAACAGACGAGGAGCUUGCUUCUCUGACGUUAGCGGCGGACGGGUGAGUAACACGUGGAUAACCUACCUAUAAGACUGGGAUAACUUCGGGAAACCGGAGCUAAUACCGGAUAAUAUAUUGAACCGCAUGGUUCAAUAGUGAAAGACGGUUUUGCUGUCACUUAUAGAUGGAUCCGCGCCGCAUUAGCUAGUUGGUAAGGUAACGGCUUACCAAGGCAACGAUGCGUAGCCGACCUGAGAGGGUGAUCGGCCACACUGGAACUGAGACACGGUCCAGACUCCUACGGGAGGCAGCAGUAGGGAAUCUUCCGCAAUGGGCGAAAGCCUGACGGAGCAACGCCGCGUGAGUGAUGAAGGUCUUCGGAUCGUAAAACUCUGUUAUUAGGGAAGAACAAAUGUGUAAGUAACUAUGCACGUCUUGACGGUACCUAAUCAGAAAGCCACGGCUAACUACGUG